UGACGUCAUUUCCUGAGGACCCCGCCAGCACCAGCACUCUAAUAAGAAAGUAUAGCGCCAUCAACCUGAUCAAACCUGCAAGGUCCUCACGCUCGUGCCUGAUGGGGAAAAAAACCAAAUGUACAAUAGACCCUACCCAGUGCCAUAUAUUGAGUCACGACACUCCCAUAGGGAUCCAUUAUACGAUUUUACUUCCGGGUACUUCCGUGUUAUGGAGCCUUGGAUAGUUACAAACAUCGCAUUUGUCAUGGCGGACACCAUUCAUUUGAACGGCAGGCUGUCAAGUAUAUUCGGAGAGGCCCUUUGUGACAUACACUUAUCUGUGCGUAUUGGAAGACAACCGGCUUUUAUGUGCUUGUUAGCGCGAUUUUAGUUAAUGCAUGGCAACCUGUUUUCUUAAUAUUGAAAUCGUUGAUAUUUCCUCCCUUUCAGCUUUGAUGCACAUGGAUUGAAUUCUCAAUCGCAGCCUAAUCUGCUCCACAACAUUGGAGGAUUCCAUGAUGGAAUCAUUCGUAACCAAACGGAACAGAUGCUCGACAUCCUUUAAGAGAGUGAAGACCUAAUCCGAUGGCCGGUGCUUCAACCAAUGCACACUGGCAUUGGUUGCAGAGUGAGAAGCUGAUGACCCUCUUCACUAUGCAUCCUGCCAGAUGUUGCCAUUUUGCCUGACAGCGUGGUCCCUGGUGCAUCUGGGCCUAGUGUUGUGGCGCCACCGCUGGUUCCUGAUUGGUCGGCACCCGGCUCAUCCACCCCUGGAUCACCUGGCCUGGAUACGUCAUUGUCAUUGUGCUCACUUUCGCCCAACCUUCCCACCUCAAUUUCUCCCUGAAUGUCUGUAACAAUAACAAGGCAUUCUUAAUUUUAUAUGCAGUCAGUGUUUUUACAUUUGCACCUAUUGUCAUCUCCAAAGUAAGGGUACACUACACUCCUAAAGGGAAAAGAAAAAAUAACGGACAUUACUGUUACAUGAAUCAAAUCAUCUGCCACAAUCAGAAACUGCUAUGGCAUUGCCAUGUGUCAACAGUCUGGUGAUAUCAUGGAGUUGGUUCUGCUUUGCUGUUGUAUCCACCAGAAAUGUUUAGUUAUAGGUGAAAAUUAAAUGCAUAAAUAAAGCUAAAUUAUGAAGUAACUAACAAUGAAGUAGAUCGAAAUUUUGUGUGUAAAUCCCAGGACAAUUCCUGACCUCUUGUAUUUGAAGCUGAAUGUAUUAAUAUGAAAAAUGUAAUUAUCUUAUUAGGAGUGUAGUUUAUCCUUGAAUUACUUGGCAUGGGAAAUGUUGUUGACAGCUGGUCUGUAUCAUACCCAAGUUUAACCUGGUGCAAUAUGUAUGGUCUAUUUGAAUUUUGGUUGGAGGCACACUCCUAAAGGGAAGUUUCCUCCUCUUUGGCUUCGAACGAUGAAUGAAAAUGGUUGGGACAGCAUCUGGCCUCAAUUUUAAUGUGUGCCCUACUUUCGUUGGCGUAAACUGGUCCUCCUCAAAGUGUUCCUGAUGUUUGGUUCGCAAGAUCAGUUUCCAUUCUACUUAAAAUUUUUAAAAAAAAUUUAAAAGUCAUAAUACCGUGACUUACAUGACAGAGUUUAUAGUUGUUGCUGGCCCCCUUCAAUUUCAGAUUUUUACGGCUGACCAUUGCCAGCCAUCGUUUCUGCCGGUCUUUGUCCUUCGGGAAACCAUACAUUCGGUAGCCCUUUUCAGACCGAUUGGUGCAUCCAAAAGCUGCACAACCAACCAUCACGAUCUCUAAAAUGUUAGGUUUGAACACUGAAUCAUGACACCCAAUUUUACCUAUUUAAUAAAAAAUAUUACUGUAAUAUUAAAUAUUUUCUUUAUCAAAGGGUAAUACGUUAUGUAAUAUAUUACCACAGGUAAGUGUAUCAA
This is a long non-coding RNA of Corythoichthys intestinalis (scribbled pipefish), 1876 nucleotides long. RefSeq lists it as uncharacterized. The transcript is spliced from 5 exons. The record is from RefSeq and is a predicted model, not a curated record. Lineage: Eukaryota; Metazoa; Chordata; Actinopteri; Syngnathiformes; Syngnathidae.